This 165-nucleotide ribosomal RNA is filed under the name Gammaproteobacteria bacterium. RNAcentral's name for it is "partial 23S ribosomal RNA". It matches the Rfam family "Bacterial large subunit ribosomal RNA", at positions 2766 to 2925 of the family's 2925-position model. The record is from RNAcentral. Lineage: Bacteria; Pseudomonadati; Pseudomonadota; Gammaproteobacteria.
AACCGCUGAAAGCAUCUAAGCGGGAAACCCACCUCAAGAUGAGAUCUCCCUGAGAGUGUAACUCUCCUAAAGGUUCGUCGAAGACUACGACGUUGAUAGGCGGGGUGUGUAAGUCCAGUAAUGGAUUCAGCUAACCCGUACUAAUUGACCGUGAGGCUUGAUCAU